Non-coding RNA from Mustela putorius furo (domestic ferret), 73 nucleotides. The record is from Rfam. Lineage: Eukaryota; Metazoa; Chordata; Mammalia; Carnivora; Mustelidae.
GCCGGAAUAGCUCAGUUGGGAGAGCGUCAGACUGAAGAUCUGAAGGUCCCUGGUUCGAUCCCGGGUGCCGGCA